This 549-nucleotide long non-coding RNA is filed under the name Equus asinus (donkey). Its description in RNAcentral is "lncRNA (ENSEASG00005009480.2)". The record is from RNAcentral. Lineage: Eukaryota; Metazoa; Chordata; Mammalia; Perissodactyla; Equidae.
GGCCGCCGCGGCUGCGGGGAGAGGGCGGGGGCGAUGCUGCCGGAGCCGCAGCCGCCGCCGCCGCCUCGGUGAGAGCCGCGCCGCGCCGCGCAUAGCCGCACAGGCUGACAGGCAGAAGGACUGACUUCCCUCUCCCGGGCAUCCUCCCUGGGCUGCCGGGAGGCGGCGGCGGAGGAGGAGGAGGAGAAGGAAAAGGAGGAGACGGCGGAGAGCAGAAACGUGAGGAGGUGGACCUGGAUCCGUUUCUCCCGGCCAGGACCCGAGCGGCCCCAGCUACCACUACCCGCCGGCGCCGUCCCCUAUCCAUCAGCCCUCCUGCGCCCACCCGCGACCCCCGGCUCUCUGCGCGUUGGGCCAGGUCCAGAGCGGCGCGGCCGGAGGCUCUGGAACCGAACGGCAGACGCGGUCAGUUGGGGUGUCCUCCGUGGGUCCCUAGGGACGCCGAUGGGUGAGGAGCCGCCGCCUUUGCCAUCCCCGCCGCUCUGCAAACGCUCGCCUCCCUCCCUAUGGUGCGUGCGCCGCGGCGCGCCCCGGGCGAAUCGCGGACGC